UUAUGCAAAUGAUGCAUGAAGUGUUUGUGCAUAUGCUUUGUUUUUAUUUCAAAGAAACUCGGGGGUUUUAUUUGCAAACUUUGAAAUAUUGAAGCAUUUUGAAUUCAAUGAAAAAAAUCUCAUUGAAUAAUUCUUUGUCUGAAUUUUUUUUUUUUUUUUUGCAAAGAAACCCCUUAAGUUCCUAAAUUUUUUUUCCAUUUUUUGAUGAUAUGGAUGCAGAUGAAUGCAUGAAUGCGUGAAUGCAACAAUCACACUCAAGGAUCAAGCAAGUCACACCAGACAAAGGUCAUGGGAAAGCUCAUUGUAUCCCUAAUAU
Molecule: long non-coding RNA, 316 nt
Filed under: Lathyrus oleraceus (garden pea)
Lineage: Eukaryota; Viridiplantae; Streptophyta; Magnoliopsida; Fabales; Fabaceae
Description: Pisum sativum (pea) long non-coding RNA (PSAT_LNC010722)
Source: RNAcentral